RNAcentral lists this microRNA precursor (109 nucleotides) under Loxodonta africana (African savanna elephant). RNAcentral describes it as "microRNA 448 (ENSLAFG00000023937.1)". It matches the Rfam family "mir-448 microRNA precursor family". The record is from RNAcentral. Lineage: Eukaryota; Metazoa; Chordata; Mammalia; Proboscidea; Elephantidae.
GGUGGGGAGGUUGAACAUCCUGCAUAGUGCUGCCAGGAAACCCCUAUUUUACAAUAAGAGGGGGCUGGCUGGUUGCAUAUGUAGGAUGUCCCAUCUCCCCGCCCACUUC